UUAUCUUUAGUUUAAAAAAAAUACACUCUUGUCAAGCGUGAUUUAUUACUUGUAAUAAGAUAAU
RNAcentral lists this transfer RNA (64 nucleotides) under Meghimatium bilineatum. Its description in RNAcentral is "tRNA-Asp". Lineage: Eukaryota; Metazoa; Mollusca; Gastropoda; Stylommatophora; Philomycidae. The record is from RNAcentral.